This 558-nucleotide ribosomal RNA is filed under the name uncultured Madurella. RNAcentral's name for it is "SSU rRNA". It matches the Rfam family "Eukaryotic small subunit ribosomal RNA", at positions 194 to 756 of the family's 1831-position model. The record is from RNAcentral. Lineage: Eukaryota; Fungi; Ascomycota.
GGAAGGGGUGUAUUUAUUAGAUUAAAAACCAAUGCCCUUCGGGGCUCUCUGGUGAUUCAUAAUAACUUCUCGAAUCGCACGGCCUUGCGCCGGCGAUGGUUCAUUCAAAUUUCUGCCCUAUCAACUUUCGACGGCUGGGUCUUGGCCAGCCAUGGUGACAACGGGUAACGGAGGGUUAGGGCUCGACCCCGGAGAAGGAGCCUGAGAAACGGCUACUACAUCCAAGGAAGGCAGCAGGCGCGCAAAUUACCCAAUCCCGACACGGGGAGGUAGUGACAAUAAAUACUGAUACAGGGCUCUUUCGGGUCUUGUAAAUGGAAUGAGUACAAUUUAAAUCCCCUAACGAGGAACAAUUGGAGGGCAAGUCUGGUGCCAGCAGCCGCGGUAAUUCCAGCUCCAAUAGCGUAUAUUAAAGUUGUUGAGGUUUAAUAGCUCGUAGUUGAACCUUGGGCCUAGCCGGCCGAUCCGCCUCACCGCGUGCACUGGCUCGGCUGGGUCUUUCCUUCUGGAGAACCGCAUGCCCUUCACUGGGUGUGCCGGGGAACCAGGACUUUUACA